Molecule: ribosomal RNA, 430 nt
Filed under: Klebsiella variicola
Lineage: Bacteria; Pseudomonadati; Pseudomonadota; Gammaproteobacteria; Enterobacterales; Enterobacteriaceae
Description: partial 23S ribosomal RNA
Rfam family: Bacterial large subunit ribosomal RNA
Source: RNAcentral
UUGGCACCUCGAUGUCGGCUCAUCACAUCCUGGGGCUGAAGUAGGUCCCAAGGGUAUGGCUGUUCGCCAUUUAAAGUGGUACGCGAGCUGGGUUUAGAACGUCGUGAGACAGUUCGGUCCCUAUCUGCCGUGGGCGCUGGAGAAUUGAGGGGGGCUGCUCCUAGUACGAGAGGACCGGAGUGGACGCAUCACUGGUGUUCGGGUUGUCAUGCCAAUGGCACUGCCCGGUAGCUAAAUGCGGAAGAGAUAAGUGCUGAAAGCAUCUAAGCACGAAACUUGCCCCGAGAUGAGUUCUCCCUGAGACUUUAAGUCUCCUGAAGGAACGUUGAAGACGACGACGUUGAUAGGCCGGGUGUGUAAGCGCAGCGAUGCGUUGAGCUAACCGGUACUAAUGAACCGUGAGGCUUAACCUUACAACGCCGAAGCUGUU